This 253-nucleotide ribosomal RNA is filed under the name uncultured bacterium. RNAcentral's name for it is "partial 16S ribosomal RNA". It matches the Rfam family "Bacterial small subunit ribosomal RNA", at positions 524 to 776 of the family's 1533-position model. The record is from RNAcentral.
UACGUAGGGUGCGAGCGUUAAUCGGAAUUACUGGGCGUAAAGCGCGCGCAGGCGGUUCGUUGUGUCUGAUGUGAAAGCCCCGGGCUCAACCUGGGAAUGGCAUUGGAAACUGGCGAGCUAGAGUGUGGCAGAGGGGGGUGGAAUUCCGCGUGUAGCAGUGAAAUGCGUAGAGAUGCGGAGGAACACCGAUGGCGAAGGCAGCCCCCUGGGCUGACACUGACGCUAAGGCACGACAGCGUGGGGAGCAAACAGG